AUGAUUAAUUUCAGAUCCUUUUACAACUCCUCUAGCAAUUUCAUGAUCCAAUUCAAACUUUUCAGUCUUCAUUCUUCAACACUUCGGAAACACGUUCACAAUCAGAAAUGAUCUCCUGCCUGAUUUUAUCACUAACCUCUAGCAAGGUGUUUGUUGCAGACGACUGGGUCAACACAGUCUGGUCUAAACGUAUUCACAUAGUAGACACAAGACUAACGCGAACCCAUUGAGGCUUUAGACUAGUCACUAACCCGGAUAUUUUGUAAUGGAUUCGUAUUGUGUUGUGUCAACAAAUUGCCGGUUCUAAUCUGAAAAACUAAAAUGCAAAUUUUGUUGAAAAAAGUGAACCGAAGUUAGCAACAAAACUGAGUGAUUCAGUUUAUUUCAAGUCAAAAUGAGUGGCUGCUGCAAAAAAAAAGUUAGCAAUCCAAUUCUCAGGAAUAAAAAAACAGUAGAAGUGUGCCUUAUUUCUGUCUCCCACUAUAUCUAGGGAUGUUCAUUGGUUCGGAUAUCAUUUUAUUGGGUUUACAAACUUUUUCGGGCCUAACUGAUAACGAAUCGGAACUAGAAAUAUGUCCAACCGAACCGAAUUCAAUUUCAACUGAUUAAACCGGUUAUUAUUUGUUUUACUCGAUUGGAUAAACAAGAUUUGUGGAGCUGAUAAGCAAACCAAAAACUGAACAAGCAAUUCGGCUACGGUUAGGAUCCAAACCGAAUAAACCGCAUUAUAAAGCCCCGAAACCAAAUCUCGAUUAUUCGUGCAUCCCCUUAUGUUUAGAUACCAUAUGACUCCUAUAACAUGUCAGAAUCGUUCCCAUAAAAAUAAUUGUUCAAACGUUGACCAAAACAACAAUCAUUAGUGAAGAGAAAUACAAAUAGGAAUUUUCUUUUGAUCUCACACUUAAAGCAAACAUUUAAGACAAAUUAAAAUCAGUAAGAGAUGGAUCAUCUAGCUAAUAUUCAUCAUCAUCAUCCUCCACAUAGUAUGCCUCCGGGUUAACCGGCUUGAACUUCUUUCCAACCAUACUCACUCCAACAUGCUCCUGUUGUUCAUUAUCAUUAUCCCCCUCAGCUCCAUCCGAUUCUCCCUUGUUACUCGGAUCUCGUUCAACAAUGGGGGUGAAUGUGGGCGCUUUUCUUUCACUAGCAACUUUGCUGGUGACUUCAUUUGCAGACAUGAU
This 1181-nucleotide long non-coding RNA is filed under the name Helianthus annuus (common sunflower). Lineage: Eukaryota; Viridiplantae; Streptophyta; Magnoliopsida; Asterales; Asteraceae. The record is from RNAcentral.